GAUGAACGCUGGCGGCGUGCCUAAUACGUGCAAGUCGAGCGAACAGACGAGGAGCUUGCUCCUCUGACGUUAGCGGCGGACGGGUGAGUAACACGUGGAUAACCUACCUAUAAGACUGGGAUAACUUCGGGAAGCCGGCGCUAAUACCGGAUAAUCUAUUGAACCGCAUGGUGCAAUAGUGAAAGACGGUUUUGGUGUCACUUAUAGAUGGAUCUGCGCCGCUUUAGCUAGUUGGUAAGGUAAAGGCUUAUCAAGGCGACGAUGCGUAGCCGAACUGAGAGGGGGGUCGGCCACAUGGGAACUGAGACGCGGUCCAGACUCCUGCGGGAGGCAGCAGUAGGGAAUCUGCCGCAGUAGGCGAGAGCCUGACGGAGCGACGCCACGUGAGUGAUGAAGGUCUUCGGAUCGUAAAGCUCGGUUAUGAGGGAAGAACAAAUGUGUAAGUAACUAUGCACGGCUUGACGGUAACUAGUCAGAAAGCCCCGGCUAACUACGUG
Molecule: ribosomal RNA, 497 nt
Filed under: uncultured bacterium
Lineage: Bacteria
Description: partial 16S ribosomal RNA
Rfam family: Bacterial small subunit ribosomal RNA
Source: RNAcentral